GACGAACGCUGGCGGCGUGCUUAACACAUGCAAGUCGAACGGAAAGACCCUGCUUUUGUGGGGUGCUCGAGUGGCGAACGGGUGAGUAACACGUGAGUAACCUGCCCUUGACUUUGGGAUAACUUCAGGAAACUGGGGCUAAUACCGGAUAGGAGCUCCUGCUGCAUGGUGGGGGUUGGUAAGUUUCGGCGGUUGGGGAUGGACUCGCGGCUUAUCAGCUUGUUGGUGGGGUAGUGGCUUACCAAGGCUUUGACGGGUAGCCGGCCUGAGAGGGUGACCGGCCACAUUGGGACUGAGAUACGGCCCAGACUCCUACGGGAGGCAGCAGUGGGGAAUAUUGCACAAUGGGCGGAAGCCUGAUGCAGCAACGCCGCGUGCGGGAUGACGGCCUUCGGGUUGUAAACCGCUUUCGCCUGUGACGAAGCGUGAGUGACGGUAAUGGGUAAAGAAGCACCGGCUAACUACGUG
Molecule: ribosomal RNA, 468 nt
Filed under: uncultured bacterium
Lineage: Bacteria
Description: partial 16S ribosomal RNA
Rfam family: Bacterial small subunit ribosomal RNA
Source: RNAcentral